This 195-nucleotide ribosomal RNA is filed under the name uncultured bacterium. RNAcentral's name for it is "partial 16S ribosomal RNA". It matches the Rfam family "Bacterial small subunit ribosomal RNA", at positions 1305 to 1500 of the family's 1533-position model. The record is from RNAcentral.
CUGCAACUCGCCUGCACGAAGUCGGAAUUGCUAGUAAUCGUAGGUCAGCAUACUACGGUGAAUACGUUCCCGGGCCUUGUACACACCGCCCGUCAAACCAUGAGAGUUGGCAACACCCGAAGUCGGUAGUCCAACCUCGUGAGGACGCUGCCGAAGGUAGGAUUGGCGACUGGGGUGAAGUCGUAACAAGGUACC